UACGUAGGGGGCAAGCGUUGUCCGGAUUUAUUGGGCGUAAAGAGCGUGUAGGCGGCUUGGUAGGUCAGCUGUGAAAACUCGAGGCUCAACCUCGAGACGUCGGUUGAAACCACCUGGCUAGAGUCCGGAAGAGGAGAGUGGAAUUCCCGGUGUAGUGGUGAAAUGCGUAGAUAUCGGGAGGAACACCAGUGGCGAAGGCGACUACCUGGCCUGUUCUUGACGCUGAGGCGCGAAAGCUAGGGGAGCAAACGGG
RNAcentral lists this ribosomal RNA (253 nucleotides) under uncultured bacterium. RNAcentral's name for it is "partial 16S ribosomal RNA". It matches the Rfam family "Bacterial small subunit ribosomal RNA", at positions 524 to 776 of the family's 1533-position model. The record is from RNAcentral.